ACAUGGGCUGUAAUUUAGUUCAAUUCAGAACUGCAGAUAGUACAGCUUCCACAGGAGCAAGGGAUGUCUGAGCACAAGUGGCUGAGUUCCGAGUGACUUUAUGAAGCACUUUUACCUUCCUCUCCGGCAUGAAAACAGGGAUUCUGCACCUGCAUCAUGGACAGUCUGGCAAAAGCCUCUGCUCUGCCUCCGGGGACAAGAAACUAGAGCAAAUAACCAUUUUGAAAUUAGAUUCUGGCAACAUUACCAACAAUCAAUGGUGGAAACUGAAGGCAGAUUGAUUUAAAUCUUCAAUGACAGUUGUACAGAAGUUGAAGAAACAUGUCAUGUUUCCAAAGAAAAGUGAGUAGCUUGGUUGGUGGUACCCUAAAAUUAGGGCAUCAUUAAGGUACGUCAUUUCUUUUAGUUCAAUCAAAGGGCUUUGCUGUUUCAAUUGUGGAGAAUUUCUUCUUCUUUUCUUCAAUCUCUCUCUCUUCCUCUUCUUCCUCUCAUUAGUAGAUGUCUUUUAUAAUUGAUGUCAUUUACUGUCCUUUCAUCAAAUGUAUGCCACAUCACUUAGGCGAACCAGCAGACAGGGCACCAAAAUACACAUUAGAGGAGACUGGCUUCCAUGAGACGCUUCGACUGUCUCAUCGGGGCACUUGUAAUAAGCAUCUUGGUGCCACUGAAUGCAAUGCUGUAUUCAAAUAAUAGCUUUCAUCUUCACUCUUUUUAAAUAUAAAAGUAAACCCUGAAGCCCUUUGAAGGACCUAACCAAACAACAUACCUAUGAAAAUAGAUCAGUAAGGCUUUGAGAAACAUUCUUGAGUAAAAUCUGUAAAGCAUCUUUGCAUUUUUUUUCAAGAAAGACUUCCAGGUAAAUGAUGGCUUUUAAUAAGACAUAUGACAAUCACAAUUACAAGAAUCAUUAAUGUGUGUCCUGUGUGCUAUUUUAUGUUCCCAGCAGGAUAUAUCUUUUCUCAUCUAGGGUUUCCAGGGCUGUCUACUGUUCUCUAUGUGUAAAACGUAUUUAAGUGUUCUCCCAAUGCUGCAAUAAUGUUGAAACAAAACAAAACAAAAACGAAAAAACCUUUGUCAAGUGGUCAGACAGACUGGAACUAGAGGAUUAUAGGUAAGAGAGAUAAAAUGAAGGGUUGAAAGCUAUAAUUUCUAUUUAUGUGGUGGCAACCAAAUCAGCUGUUGGAGUCAGGCAAUUUAAAGAUGUGGCUACUGGAGCUCAGAGUCUGGGAAGAAGACACUUCUGCGUCUGACAGUGAAUCAGGCUCCCAGUUUUGAAGAUGUACUGUAGGUGAUUCCUCGCUGAAUCCAUUUCCCACUUAGUUUCUAUUCUCCGACCCAUUGCUGUGUCCCCACACUUUCCACUUGAUUUUAUCUCUUUGACAAUUCUAUAUUUUACUUUCGUUCCUCUCAUUCCCCUUUUCCCAGUUGUUUUUCUUUUCUUUUUUUUUUUUUUUAACUGUAGUUUCUUGGCCUCUGACUACUGUUCCAUGCUGGAUGUCCCCAGAAAACAGAGUAUGUUUAGAAAGGAGACAGUGCAUCUCAGAAGUCCCCUGUCCACUAGUUCAUGUUUGAAGGUGUUGUGCUCUAUGGGUAUCAGAAACAUUUGUAGAUGAAAUAAUUUGAGGCAUGAAUUUUGAUAGAAGCAGGAUCACCAAUGAAAUGAUAAAUGUAGGUACCUGUUUACCUUGCAUAAUAUUCACUAUGAUUUUGAGAAUUUCAAUGUAUAAUUUGUCUUUACUCUUAUUUUUCAUUAGAAUUAACAGAAUCUCAGAGCUGGUAGAAAGUAUAGAAACUGUAUAUACAACUCUCAUAUUCAGAUGAAGAAAAUGACGCACAGAAAAUCAACUGUCCUAAGCCAUUCAGCUUGUCUAUAAGUGCUGUUGGCUUAAUUAUAGUUUUGCAUAUAUUUAGGCGAAGGGAAUACUUUCUCAGAAACUGGUUAGAACUGUUUGAGAAGAAAUAUAAUCAUCAAAAUAUAUCCACAGUAAAAUGUAACCAUCCAUCAUUCAACAUAGGCAAGAAUAUGUAUUGAAUUGCCUGAGUGUAUUAUUCAUAUAGCAAAACUUACCUGAAUUGCUAAUAAAUCUCCUGAUCUCUGUAUAUGUAUAAAAUACAUAAACCCAACCAAAUUCUGUACAUAAAUAAAUAUUAAUUUUGGAUACCAGUACAAUCCCUAUUUUACUUUUGUGUAUUCCAGUUAUUUAUUACUCACAGUUCUAUAGUUUUAACCAGAACAAAGGGAUUAUCCAGAAGAAAAGAAGGUAAGCUAUUUCAUCAGUUUCGUUGGAAAUCAGAAGUUUUUUUUUUUCUAUUAUUAGCUUUGUAUUCUUAAAAAAGAAAAAAGAAGGGAAAAAACUCUCAUCUUCUCAUUCAUAAGAAUUCCCAUAAAAAUUGUCAGUGGUGAGGUGGGGAGGAAAUGCAUUACCAAUAAACAGCUAGAUCCUACUAUUGGGGACACUCAGUUUUAUUCUACAGAAAAUAUGGUUUGUUCUUGAAGAUGUAAUAGACAUAAUAUUUUUAAACAUAUUAAAUAUGCCAGUAAAUAUUUUUGUUAAACAAGGCUUUUAAAAUUUAAAUUACACCCCUAAACUGGCUUUCUAGUUUUUCUAGAGAAAUAAAGCAAUUUUAAAGGAAAUAGCCGCUCAGAUUAGUAUUUCAAAUAUCAUACAAAGUGUAUGUGGUGAUAUUACUGAAAAUGAGGAUUUUUGAAAACUAAAAAAGCAAAAAGUCAUUGCUCUGAAAGCCUUCAAGACUGCCUUAAGGUUUACAAUGCAAGUCUUAGAUGUAUUUAGGUAAUCAUAAUUUGAUUAGCUUUCUAAUUCUAAACAUAUUUUGACUCAAAUGUUUAAAAUAUGGUCAUCUAUUCAGUUAAAGAUGAACAUUUUGAUGAAAUAGCAAUACUUAAAGGGUUCUCCAUUUCCACAAUUAAGUGCUACCUAUUAUUUAUUCAGAGCAUAUGUUUCAGUCUCAAAACACUGAAGACAUAUCUCAGUGAAAUAAAAAUAAUUUUUUUUUUUUUAAGAAAUCAGAAUAUGUGGCAGUCGGCAGGCUUAAUUUGUAUUUUAUAGGCUCCAAAUUCAGAUGAAUAUUAUCAAGAUCUGAAUUGUCUCAAUGGCUGUCAUAAUUCAAACAAUAAUGUCAAAAAUAUAAACUAGUAUCAUAUAAUUAAUUUGUAUAUAUGGAAAAUUGAAU
This is a long non-coding RNA of Chlorocebus sabaeus (green monkey), 3192 nucleotides long. RefSeq lists it as uncharacterized. NCBI's taxonomy places the organism in Eukaryota, Metazoa, Chordata, Mammalia, Primates, Cercopithecidae. The record is from RefSeq and is a predicted model, not a curated record.